UACAGAGGUCUCAAGCGUUGUUCGGAAUCACUGGGCGUAAAGAGUACGUAGGCGGUUAUGUAAGUCAGGAGUGAAAGGCAGGGGCUCAACCCCUGGACUGCUUUUGAUACUGCGUGACUUGAGUAAUGGAGGGGGAACCGGAAUUCUCGGUGUAGCAGUGAAAUGCGUAGAUAUCGAGAGGAAGACUCGUGGCGAAGGCGGGUUCCUGGACAUUAACUGACGCUGAGGUACGAAGGCCAGGGUAGCGAAAGGG
RNAcentral lists this ribosomal RNA (253 nucleotides) under uncultured bacterium. RNAcentral's name for it is "partial 16S ribosomal RNA". It matches the Rfam family "Bacterial small subunit ribosomal RNA", at positions 524 to 776 of the family's 1533-position model. The record is from RNAcentral.